AUUCCCGCGCGCGGCGGGCGGGGCGGGGGCACGGGGGGACUCCUACGGGAGGCAGCAGUGGGGAAUAUUGCACAAUGGGCGCAAGCCUGAUGCAGCCAUGCCGCGUGUAUGAAGAAGGCCUUCGGGUUGUAAAGUACUUUCAGCGGGGAGGAAGGCGAUAAGGUUAAUAACCUUGUCGAUUGACGUUACCCGCAGAAGAAGCACCGGCUAACUCCGUGCCAGCAGCCGCGGUAAAAUC
This 238-nucleotide ribosomal RNA is filed under the name uncultured Enterobacter sp. RNAcentral's name for it is "partial 16S ribosomal RNA". It matches the Rfam family "Bacterial small subunit ribosomal RNA", at positions 283 to 526 of the family's 1533-position model. The record is from RNAcentral. Lineage: Bacteria; Pseudomonadati; Pseudomonadota; Gammaproteobacteria; Enterobacterales; Enterobacteriaceae.